Long non-coding RNA from Empidonax traillii (willow flycatcher), 1536 nucleotides. RefSeq lists it as uncharacterized. The transcript has 3 exons. The record is from RefSeq and is a predicted model, not a curated record. NCBI's taxonomy places the organism in Eukaryota, Metazoa, Chordata, Aves, Passeriformes, Tyrannidae.
AAAGUGUUUUCAGUACCAUUUUCUAUACAAAUUUGUUCUGGGUGACUUGACUUUUCUCCUUGAGUAUGAAAUUAGGAAAACAUUAAACUAGCCUGGCAAAAUUAUUAUAAUGUAAUGAUUUUAAUAAUCUUUGGAAAACCUUACUCUGACUAUAUCUAACUGGUGCUGUCUGUCAUAUUAGUGAGAAAGCUAUUCUUUGCUAAUGAGAGUCUUAAAUUAUGCUGUUUCUGAGUUUGUUUAAAACUCCUGACCACUGAUACAGAAGUGUAAGUGAAAAUAUGUAAAAACAUGAAAGGCCGCAUUCUGGACCAUUUAAAGCAGACAACUCUGCUUUAUAAACAAACAUAAAAAGGUAGAGUUUAUUUCAUCUUGCAUUUUUUCUGUGUGGGAAACCCUGGUAAUUUAAUUUUUAAGUUGAGGAAAGUACAUCCAAUGAUGUUAUUGUUUCAGAAGUCACCCAGACACUUCAUAAAUACAUUUGGUGUUCUGAGAAAUGGAAGUGUUGGGAUGCUUUGUAAGAUUCUGUGGAAAAAAAGCACUUUGAAAAUAGUCCCUCUAUAAAUUAACAAUUAAAAGUUGGCCAUAUUUAAAACAAGUUUAAGCAUUCAAAAUGGGGUUCAUAAAUAAUACAGAAGUAUGCAUAAAGCCUUAAAAUCAAACAAAACUCAAACCCAUAUGCUAAAAUUAAAGAGGAUUUGUUGUCUCAAAAUAAGGAUGUGAAAAUAUAGCUAAGAUGCGUACUUGAAUGCAGUUUCUGUAGUAUCUUUGUUCUUCGAGUUUUAAAAGAUUGUGUGAGCUUCUUAGAAAAAACCCAACCAAAACCCAAAACCCCAGCAAUCCACAUUCCAAGACUAAUUAGGUCUCUAAAAAAUGUUAUCAGAUUUUAAAUGUUACGUUUUCCAACGUACCUUUGUCUGGGACCUUUUCUAUGAACAGCCACGUAUUGUUGGAGAUGGGAACACAGUAAAUAAUAAACCUGGUCACCAGCGUAAACCCCUGUAGUUUUAGACAGUUGAUUAGCAGUUUAAAGUAUGAGAUUCAGGAAUGAUUUUUAGUGUAAGAAUUUUGGCUUUUCAGCAAGAGCCUCUGCUGUCAAGCAUUUACUGUACUUGAGCUCUGAAGGGGCAAGUACAGAGCCCAGCCACUGUAGUCACUUUAUUUUGCACCAUCUUUGUACAUUCCUGUUGUAUAGCUGGAGUUGUAGUUUUAGAGGGCCUUUGUUCUGUUUUAAUGUCUGAAUAGUAUUUAAUACUAAAUUUUAUUAUAAUUUGCUGGAACUGCUGCUUAUUUGUGCAGUGUUGCAGUAAUUCACAGCCCAGUUAGUGAUGCAAUUGUAUACCAAAAGCAGUUUGAGUAACUGUAAAUGUUUAUGUAACUGUACUCAAUGAAUAUGAAGGUCUUGUACUGUAUAAUGCUGACAAGUUUUGCCAUUUUAGUAAUUUAACUAUAUUCAGUUUUCAGAUUAUGAACUCCAGGUUGCACUAAACUUGUCCUUGUUUUAGCAGUGGCUUAAAAUAAAACACAUUUCACUGGCUU